This is a long non-coding RNA of Solanum stenotomum, 535 nucleotides long. RefSeq lists it as uncharacterized. The transcript has 3 exons. The record is from RefSeq and is a predicted model, not a curated record. NCBI's taxonomy places the organism in Eukaryota, Viridiplantae, Streptophyta, Magnoliopsida, Solanales, Solanaceae.
AGAAACCCUAAUGAUAUUCCUCUUUUCAUUUACAAGACCCAAAACGCUCCAACUUCUAUUUUUCCCCCAAGUCUCCGCCUCGUCUCUCCAACCCUUUCCGCGGUCGGUCGAGAUUGUAAAAGGGAACAAUGGAAGGAAUGAUAGCUGGACUUGUUAUAUAAAUUUUGCUACCAUCAUUUGUACUCUAUAGACUUUUGACUAGAAUAAAGAGAUAUCGCUCAUAUUGUGUAUAUAAAAGAUGGUGUUAUUUGGGGGAAGGGACUAAGUAUGAAGAUGUUAAGAGAACUCCUUGAUGUGCAACAUUUGCUCGUAAAGUGCUUGAAGAAGACUUAAUUCGAAGAACAAGUAAAAAGCCCGGAGGAAACAAGAGAACUAGUGAUUUGAUUAACUUAUUAUGUAUUUGAAAAUUUAUUGUUUCUUUUCUUAUUUGGACAUAAACGGAUCUAGAAUCGAUGACUUAUGAAAUUGCUAAUAAUAUAUUGUAUACUUUGUUGUACAGUCUAUUUGGUUGGUAAUAAAAUGUUUCUUAUGUUAU